AAAAAGAUAAGCUAAUUAAGCUAGUGGGUUCAUACCCCAUUUAUAAAAGUUUUAACCUUUUUCUUUUUA
This 69-nucleotide transfer RNA is filed under the name Arge aurora. RNAcentral describes it as "Arge sp. CSCS-Hym-MC0179 tRNA-Met". It matches the Rfam family "tRNA". From Rfam's summary of the family: Transfer RNA (tRNA) molecules are approximately 80 nucleotides in length. Their secondary structure includes four short double-helical elements and three loops (D, anti-codon, and T loops). Further hydrogen bonds mediate the characteristic L-shaped molecular structure. tRNAs have two regions of fundamental functional importance: the anti-codon, which is responsible for specific mRNA codon recognition, and the 3' end, to which the tRNAs corresponding amino acid is attached (by aminoacyl-tRNA synthetases). tRNAs cope with the degeneracy of the genetic code in two manners: having more than one tRNA (with a specific anti-codon) for a particular amino acid; and 'wobble' base-pairing, i.e. permitting non-standard base-pairing at the 3rd anti-codon position. Lineage: Eukaryota; Metazoa; Arthropoda; Insecta; Hymenoptera; Argidae. The record is from RNAcentral.